Molecule: unclassified non-coding RNA, 1946 nt
Filed under: Hevea brasiliensis (rubber tree)
Lineage: Eukaryota; Viridiplantae; Streptophyta; Magnoliopsida; Malpighiales; Euphorbiaceae
Source: RNAcentral
AAAAAAAUACCUUCUUUUAGUAAUGAAUAAAAUCUGAAAGAUCAAAGAAAAAUUCAACAAAGCCCUAAAGAGAUAUAUAUACACAAGACCACAAAAUUUUCCUUGUGCUCAAAACCAAUUCAUAUUAGAAAACAAUCUAGUUUAAUUUCUAGCAAAAACCCAUUUCAGGAUCUUGAUUUUUUUUUGGCAACAAAUUAUGCCAGUGCCUGGUUCAGUUGUGCAAGGGUUCCCACAGACCAGUAUGCUUUUUGGUCAUGGAGGGAGAAAAAGAAUCAUUGAAGGCUCUGAAGAAGAUCUAAGAAGAAAGGAGAGGAAAAAGAUUAGAAAUAGAGCAUCUGCUGCUAGAUCUCGAGAGAAGAAAAUGGAGAGGACAAAAUUUCUGGAAGAAAAAGUAGAAGAACUAAGAGAAGAGAAUGCCCAGAUGGAGCGAUUAGUCAAAUUAUUACUGGUAGUUCAUCACUUAAAUUUAUUUUUAGAGAAAAUGAGUGCUCUAAGUGUAUUAAAAAAUAGAGGCUAACCAACGAGUUUUAGCUCUGUGAUAACGGAAUUGUCUUACAGAUUGUGAAGUUUUGAGUUUAGCUUUAGUUGAAGUCAAAUAAAUUCAAGGGGCUAAAGUAGAUCUCUAGUUAACAUAAUUAAUUUAUUUUUCAGGAUAAAAAAGGUAAACAAAUUUUAUAUAUAUUGUUGAAUAUUUGCAGAUGGAGGAAGAGGAGGAGAAUGAUAAGCAGAUCAUCAAGGCUGAAGAAGAGACUGCAAAUAAGCGUAAGGGUUUGAGGAGGACCUUGACCUCACCAUGGUGAUCAUGUUCUUGAAAUGGGCUAAAAAUACAUAAUUCACCUUAUGAGAUGCUGUCUAGUUUUAAACUUUUCAUAAUUUGCUGAAUCAAAUAAAGUUCAGAUCUGGCGUAACUGGGCAGAAUGUAUUUGCUUUAAUCGUUCUCUUUCUUUCCUUCCUAAUAUUUUUAAACGUCUAAUUAUUUCAUAGAUCUAUUUCCUCCAUUGAAUUUGCACAAAAAUAACAUAUUUUAAAGCAAGAAUAAAUUUUCUUACAACUGCAUAUAUUUGAAGAAGAAAAGCAUUAAUGGUUUACCUUCAACUCUCAUAAAAACACAAAUAAUUUUAAUUAAUUUAAGGAUCACAUAUAUAUGCUUCCACUUCUAUUUAUUUGCAACCAUACAUAUGACCUCAGAAAUUCAAGAUUUCAUGCAUGAUUCAAAGACUGCAGACGAAAACGUGCGGAGUCUAGCUAUAAGCUCAUCUUGUUCCGUACACUAAAUCCCAAACAGGAAAUUAGAUGAAAUAUUAUAAUUAAUUAACUUCAAUAACACCUACUUUCUAUCCUCAAUCUUUGAGAGCUUCCAGCUCAACGUCCAUCAGCCAUUAAUGCUUCACGAGCCGAUGCAAUUCCAUUAGGAGCUAAAAGCUUAUCAAAAGAAGAAUAAUCAAUCCAUUCCAUAAGAAAAUUCUCUUGACUCCAAGUGUCUGGUAUCUUUACCUGUCCAGCCACCUCUUCUCGAUGCCUCUUUAAUCUUUCUCUUCCACUCUUCUUCUCCUUUUCAUGUUGUGUAGGACUAGUCGCUGAUGAAAAUGAUAAUGAUGAUGAUGAGCUAGGUUGAGAGAAGGUUUGAGCUUGCAAUUCUUCUUCAUAAUCAUCUGCAGGUUCACUCAAGUUUUGUAACCUGAUGGGUGAAUUCUCAGUGGAAGAACUAGAACCCACGUUUGUUUUUGCCGAGGAUGAAAGAAUAUUCCGGCAACUGGAUUUGUUGGGGGGUUCAUUAUUGUUGGAUGAGAUCAGAUGGGUGCCCUCCAUAUUUCUGUAAUGAGAAUUGAGGAUACAGGGAAAGGUAGGGAAAAGGGCUUUAGAAAGAAUUAUACAUCCAUAUUUCUGCAAUGAGAAUUGAGGACAUAGGGAAAGGUAGGGAAAAGGGCUUUAGAAAGAAUUAUACA